AAAUUUUAGUAAUUUACGGAUAUGCCAUGAGUCCAUGAGUUGUACAAGGGAAUACGUGCUGGUUAUAAGGAAUUUUCAAAUGUUAUGCAGCUCAAAUUAUAUAUAUUCAUCCACUCGUCUAGCGGAUUGUUGCCCCCGUUGCAGCAAUUCCAGAAUGAUGUCGUGCUCCGCCCCAGGAUUUAUUUCUGCCACUUUCCCCGGGUCCGGCACAAUCGGCUUUGCAGGCAUCGGCGCUGCGCUUUAAUCGGCUGAGCCCCUCCCUAGUGGUCGGAGCACAUCGACAAUGCCCUUCAUUAUCUAAAUGGAGCUGCGCUUGGACUCAGUCAUGUCCAAUUGCAUGGAUUUCCUAGAAGUUUGAUGGGCCUGAGUUAUCGCCGGGAUCCCUGCCGAUUGGGUACUCUCGAGAACUGUAGAUUCUCCUGGGCCUUACCCUGAUGUAAUGAAACCUUCUCCACUUCGAUCGGAUGUUUAACCAAUGGAAUCUUCCUAUGAGCAGAUAGUCGUCCGAAACUCAAUCUGAGGAAUGAUUAGUAUUCAACAAAGCGAAAUUUCGAGGAGAGAAAACACUUUCUAAGCCAGGAAAACAACUUUUCGGACAAAUAUUUGACUGGCGAAUGGCAUCCAAAGGACUCAUCACAGUACCUUGUAGACUAUUCGAGCUUUUGUCGCCCCUUUUUACCCUUUGCACCCAUUAAAAAUAGGUAAAAGGGGUUUUUUGUGCAAAAGUAACAGGCAGAAGGAAGCAUCUCCGACCCCAUAAAGUAUAAAUAUUCUUGAUCAGCGUCAAUAGCCGAGUCGAUAUAGCCAUGUCUGUCUGUCUGUUUCUAUGCGAACUAGUCUAGUUUUUAAGCUAUCGUCAUGAAACUUUGCAGAAGUGCCUCCUUUUGUUGCACGCAGUACAUAUGUCGGAACCGGCUGGAUCGGAAUACUAUAUCAUAUAGCUGCCAUUAGAACGAUCGGUCGAAAAGUAGGUUCUUGUAU
This is a long non-coding RNA of Drosophila montana, 981 nucleotides long. RefSeq lists it as uncharacterized. The transcript has 3 exons. NCBI's taxonomy places the organism in Eukaryota, Metazoa, Arthropoda, Insecta, Diptera, Drosophilidae. The record is from RefSeq and is a predicted model, not a curated record.